AAUUCGAUGCAACGCGAAGAACCUUACCAAGGCUUGACAUGGAUUUCUAAGCACGUGAAAGCGUGUGACCUUCGGGGACUUCCACAGGUGCUGCAUGGCCGUCGUCAGCUCGUGUCGUGAGAUGUUGGUUAAGUCCCGCAACGAGCGCAACCUUGUGACUAGUUGCCAGCACGUAAUGGUGGGAACUCUAGUCAGACUGCCCAGAUCAACUGGGAGGAAGGUGGGGACGACGUCAGAUCAUCAUGCCCCUUAUGACCUGGGCUACAAACGUGAUACGAUGGCUGGAACAAAGGGAGGCGAAGGGGUGACCUGGAGCGAAACCCAAAAAUACAGUCUCAGUUCGGAUUGAAGUCUGCAACUCGACUUCAUGAAGUCGGAAUCGCUAGUAAUCGCGGAUCAGAACGCCGCGGUGAAUACGUUCUCGGGGUUU
Molecule: ribosomal RNA, 430 nt
Filed under: uncultured Acholeplasma sp.
Lineage: Bacteria; Bacillati; Mycoplasmatota; Mollicutes; Acholeplasmatales; Acholeplasmataceae
Description: bacterial SSU rRNA
Rfam family: Bacterial small subunit ribosomal RNA
Source: RNAcentral